This 74-nucleotide transfer RNA is filed under the name Candidatus Pelagibacter sp. RNAcentral's name for it is "tRNA-Gly". It matches the Rfam family "tRNA". From Rfam's summary of the family: Transfer RNA (tRNA) molecules are approximately 80 nucleotides in length. Their secondary structure includes four short double-helical elements and three loops (D, anti-codon, and T loops). The record is from RNAcentral. Lineage: Bacteria; Pseudomonadati; Pseudomonadota; Alphaproteobacteria; Candidatus Pelagibacterales; Candidatus Pelagibacteraceae.
GCGGGUGUAGUUCAAUGGUAGAACACCAGCCUUCCAAGCUGGUCGUGAGGGUUCGAUCCCCUUCACCCGCUCCA